AUGAACGCUGGCGGCGUGCCUAAUACAUGCCAGUCGAGCGAACAGACGAGGAGCUUGCUCCUCUGACGUUAGCGGCGGACGGGUGAGUAACACGUGGAUAACCUACCUAUAAGACUGGGAUAACUUCGGGAAACCGGAGCUAAUACCGGAUAAUAUAUUGAACCGCAUGGUUCAAUAGUGAAAGACGGUUUUGCUGUCACUUAUAGAUGGAUCCGCGCCGCAUUAGCUAGUUGGUAAGGUAACGGCUUACCAAGGCAACGAUGCGUAGCCGACCUGAGAGGGCGAUCGGCCACACUGGAACUGAGACACGGUCCAGACUCCUACGGGAGGCAGCAGUAGGGAAUCUUCCGCAAUGGGCGAAAGCUUGACGGAGCAACGCCGCGUGAGUGAUGAAGGUCUUCGGAUCGUAAAACUCUGUUAUUAGGGAAGAACAAAUGUGUAAGUAACUAUGCACGUCUUGACGGUACCUAAUCAGAAAGCCACGGCUAACUACGUG
RNAcentral lists this ribosomal RNA (496 nucleotides) under uncultured bacterium. RNAcentral's name for it is "partial 16S ribosomal RNA". It matches the Rfam family "Bacterial small subunit ribosomal RNA", at positions 29 to 507 of the family's 1533-position model. The record is from RNAcentral.